CUUUACACAUGCAAGUCGGACGGCAGCACAGAGAAGCUUGCUUCUUGGGUGGCGAGUGGCGAACGGGUGAGUAACAUAUCGGAACGUACCGAGCAGUGGGGGAUAACUAAUCGAAAGAUUAGCUAAUACCGCAUAUAUUCUGAGGAAGAAAGCAGGGGACCAUUUGGCCUUGCGCUGUUUGAGCGGCCGAUAUCUGAUUAGCUAGUUGGUGGGGUAAAGGCCUACCAAGGCGACGAUCAGUAGCGGGUCUGAGAGGAUGAUCCGCCACACUGGGACUGAGACACGGCCCAGACUCCUACGGGAGGCAGCAGUGGGGAAUUUUGGACAAUGGGCGCAAGCCUGAUCCAGCCAUGCCGCGUGUCUGAAGAAGGCCUUCGGGUUGUAAAGGACUUUUGUCAGGGAAGAAAAGGGCGGGGUUAAUACCCCUGUCUGAUGACGGUACCUGAAGAAUGAGCACCGGCUAACUACGUGCCAGCAGCCGCGGUAAUACGUAGGGUGCGAGCGUUAAUCGGAAUUACUGGGCGUAAAGCGGGCGCAGACGGUUACUUAAGCAGGAUGUGAAAUCCCCGGGCUCAACCUGGGAACUGCGUUCUGAACUGGGUGACUAGAGUGUGUCAGAGGGAGGUAGAAUUCCACGUGUAGCAGUGAAAUGCGUAGAGAUGUGGAGGAAUACCGAUGGCGAAGGCAGCCUCCUGGGAUAACACUGACGUUCAUGCCCGAAAGCGUGGGUAGCAAACAGGAUUAGAUACCCUGGUAGUCCACGCCCUAAACGAUGUCGAUUAGCUGUUGGGCAGCAUGACUGCUUAGUAGCGAAGC
RNAcentral lists this ribosomal RNA (816 nucleotides) under uncultured Neisseria sp. Its description in RNAcentral is "bacterial SSU rRNA". It matches the Rfam family "Bacterial small subunit ribosomal RNA", at positions 47 to 852 of the family's 1533-position model. The record is from RNAcentral. Lineage: Bacteria; Pseudomonadati; Pseudomonadota; Betaproteobacteria; Neisseriales; Neisseriaceae.